Non-coding RNA from Pelobates cultripes (western spadefoot toad), 1250 nucleotides. The record is from the annotation of a GenBank genome assembly. Lineage: Eukaryota; Metazoa; Chordata; Amphibia; Anura; Pelobatidae.
UUAAACCCAUUAGAUUUUAGUUGUGUUGACUAAAACAAAAACAAUUCAGAUAUGAUUUGUAUCUUUUAGAACAAUCAUAAAGUUCCAUUCCAUAAUUUCUUCUACUUUAACGGUUAAUUUUUAACCCAAGUAAUUUAUUCAUUUUAUAGUUCAAAAGAAACUAAAACAAGCCCUAAGAAACUCUUAAAGAUCUUUAUGUAAAUUUAUAGGUAGAAUAAUCGAUUUAUUGAUAUUUAUUUUAUAAUUCAAUGUUUUAGAGUAUUUAUCCAUGGCUUGUACUAACUCAAGGAGAGAGCUGCCUGGAUCUGUUAUUGUUAUAAGAACAUCAUCCGCACACAGACAUAAUUUGUUUUCGACUUGUUUACAGAUAAACCCCUUUAUCCCUUUGUUAGAUCUUAUAUUGAUUGCUAAAAUUUCAAUGGUAAGAACAUAAAGUAAGGGUGACAGGGGACAGCCCUGUCUGGUCACAUUGCUUAAAUCGAACCAAUUAGCCGUUACGUUCUGAACAAUUUUUUGUGCCAAUGGGUGGGAGCACAGUGUUCUUAUGGAAUCCAGAAAAAGAAUGUUGAACCCAAAAACUUGGAGAGACUGAAACGUAAAAUCAUAACUAAUCUAAACAAAAGCUAUCUCAGCGUCUAACAAGAUUGUUAUUAAAGUUUUGUCUUCUCUGUCUGCUAUGUCCAAGAUGAUAAUAAAUCUUCUUAUGUUAGUAUAGAAAAUCUAUAGCCUAUGAGUCGGGCUGCAGUCAGUGUAAGCUAAACUCCAUUAUUGCUACUCGUCUAUGUUACUGCAUAGUGUAGCACCUAUAGUUGUCUGCAUAGCUUGGUUUAUCUUCCUUACAUUUUAUUAAAAUGAGGCUGAAACUUUCUCUAAGUGAUGUGUUAGAUAUCUUCCAGUGGUAUAGCAAUAGCUCAGCUCCUGUUUGAUAUAUCUAUCUGUCUUGCCUACCUUUUUAUGUUCUUGUGUGACCAUAUCCUCCUGGGAACCGAGGAAAAAUGUGCUUGCUGCUAUGCCAUCUAUUUUUGAUGAAAAGGAAGAGGAAGUUCCCAGCAUCCCAUCCGAUCACAUGACAAAUCACUGGAAAGCACAGGAUGUCCUCUUUACAAUACAGCAGGAAUUGAUCAAAAGAAUAAAAGGAGAUGUAUGUGAACAAAAUGUCCAGUACAGAGGACACAAGUCUCAGAGGACAUGUUGUCUUUGCUAUAUGCCUCAAUAAAAAUGAAUUAAUAAAAAAUUUUUUAGUAUUUAAA